This is a long non-coding RNA of Culex pipiens pallens (northern house mosquito), 488 nucleotides long. RefSeq lists it as uncharacterized. NCBI's taxonomy places the organism in Eukaryota, Metazoa, Arthropoda, Insecta, Diptera, Culicidae. The record is from RefSeq and is a predicted model, not a curated record. The transcript is spliced from 3 exons.
GCGUGGAAAAGCGCUAAACGCACCUCACGUCUUUACCGGCGCAUACCCGUUGGCAAUCGUGUUGUCAGAAGAUACUGACAUUUAAUCGAAAGUCAUCUCGCGAUGGCUCUUUGCCGGUGAUCAACCAGAGUCACGAGUAGAAGUGCACUUUGUGCACGAACAAAUAUAUUUCGCGAUUAAUUUUAGUGAAUACUGAAUUUAAGUCCCAUCUGGGCACCCCGUGAAGCAGUACAUUUCUUACAAUGCAAGUCUAACCUAGAAUCAUUUAGAUUUGCCAUCAGCAUGCAUGUGCUCAUGCAACUCCCAAAUCGUCUUUUUGGAAAAAAAGAACAUCUUUUGUAUCGAGUUACUAAACGCAAUUUGUAACUAGCCGUUUAAAACCAGCUCAAAUCGCCAAAUACAAACCUAGUUAAGCAAAAACUGAGCGUAUUUCUUCGGUGGUUACAAAUACGGAAAAAUCCUCGAUCCCGUUGCCAGCAAGGGCAACA